Molecule: ribosomal RNA, 301 nt
Filed under: uncultured bacterium
Lineage: Bacteria
Description: partial 16S ribosomal RNA
Rfam family: Bacterial small subunit ribosomal RNA
Source: RNAcentral
CAGCAGCCGCGGUAAUACAGAGGGUGCGAGCGUUAAUCGGAUUUACUGGGCGUAAAGCGUGCGUAGGCGGCCUUUUAAGUCGGAUGUGAAAUCCCUGAGCUUAACUUAGGAAUUGCAUUCGAUACUGGGAUGCUAGAGUAUGGGAGAGGAUGGUAGAAUUCCAGGUGUAGCGGUGAAAUGCGUAGAGAUCUGGAGGAAUACCGAUGGCGAAGGCAGCCAUCUGGCCUAAUACUGACGCUGAGGUACGAAAGCAUGGGGAGCAAACAGGAUUAGAUACCCCAGUAGUCCCUGUCUCUUAUAA